Molecule: long non-coding RNA, 207 nt
Filed under: Manihot esculenta (cassava)
Lineage: Eukaryota; Viridiplantae; Streptophyta; Magnoliopsida; Malpighiales; Euphorbiaceae
Description: long non-coding RNA (MESC_LNC008024)
Source: RNAcentral
GUCAUGCAUAAAGGAGCUUAACAACUAGAUUUAAACUCCAAAAACAACAUCCAAAGCAUGCAUAGAUAGCUUAUGACCCACAUAGGCCAAAAUCAUCAAAACACCCCAUAAUCUCACUUGCUCUUUCCCAAUCAUGCAUACACUCUCCCACAUGUAUAAACUAACUUAAACUUUCAACAUAACAUCACAUAAACAUGCAUUGGGCAU